Astyanax mexicanus (Mexican tetra) is the source of this 2980-nucleotide long non-coding RNA. RefSeq lists it as uncharacterized. The transcript is spliced from 2 exons. The record is from RefSeq and is a predicted model, not a curated record. NCBI's taxonomy places the organism in Eukaryota, Metazoa, Chordata, Actinopteri, Characiformes, Acestrorhamphidae.
GGUUGGACAAUAAAAAACUGAAACACCUGGUUUUAGACCACAAUCAUUUAUUGUGGUGACGGACAGUUCUGGUGGAAACAGGAGAGUUGAGGUGCACAUUGAAUCAUUCUGUCGUGAUUUGAUCAGCCGUGGUUUUAUGUUUUUUGGAUACAAUCCGGGUUAGCACCCAAACAUCCCUUUCAGACAGCUUCCUCUUACAGCGUCCACAGUUAAUCCUGUUGGAUGUGGUUGGUCCUUCUUGGUGGUAUGAUUACAUUACCCUGGAUACCGUGGCUCUUGAUGCAUCACAAAGACUUGAUGUCUUGGUCACAGUUGCACCAGCAAGAUGUGCACCAACAAUUUGUUCUCUUUUGAACUCUGGUAUGUCACCCAUAAUGUUGUGUGUGUUGCAAUAUUUUGGAUAAAACUGUGCUCUUACCCUGCUAAUUGAACCUUCACACUCUUACUGCUCUUACUGGUGCAAUAAUGUGCAAUUAAUGAAGAUUGGCCACCAGGCUGCUCCAAUUUACCCAUGAAACCUCCCACACUAAAAUGACAGGUGUUUCAGUUUCAUUGUCCAACCCCUGUAUCACAGCCUGAUAGUGGGUGCUAAAAAAUUGGGACAUUUCAUUUCUGUAAUUACAUUUCUGAGUGAAUUUACCCAUUUUGAUCAACAAUGCGAUUAAACAAUGUGUUCCCAAAAUUCAGAAAAAGCUAAAGGUUCUUAGCUUCUAUUGGACAUGGCAAAAGUCAUGGUACACUGUUUCACUCUGACUUGUUCAAUGAAUCUUGGAAAAUUGCAUGUUCAAAUAGGAAUUAUCCCAUCCAAUUUGGGGCCCAUUUGAACAUGAAUGCAGCCUAAGCACUGAAUGGGAGUUAUCUUUAACAUGUUCCUUCAUGACCCACUUUUGGAUACAGGAUUAGCUCAGAACAGUGGCUGUAAUUUAGUCGCCGUUUUGGUGCAAUUUGGUGUUCUUACUAAAACAGCUAGAAAACAGUCAGUUCUGUCAGAGCACUGCGAUCAGUUCUAAAUGCUAGCCGUCUGCUGGAGAAAAAAAGUGAAUGGAUGCUUUCAUCAGUUUGAGAGGUUAACACCUUCCCGUUUGGCUUUCAGCGUUCAGAUCGAUAUAUUAGUGCAUUCGGUACAUUCACUGCAUUACCAUGCAGGUAUCCUGUAGUGGCCUUCUUUCAAAAAACACUGAAAAGAGUACCUGACACACACACACACACACACACACACACACACACACACACACACACACACACACACACACACACAACAGCUCAGAUCAAUGCUAAAUCCGUUUGGCGGAAAUGCCGGCCAACGCCUGCAUGUAUUCUAAGCAUGUAGCUCGAGCAAGCACAGCAGUCCAUUGGCAGUGAAUGGGGCUGUUUGAGAGAUUCUGGAAGCUGAAUGUUGAGGGAGGGGAGAGCUCGCUCCUGGGGGGGUUUCUGGUUUCUGUGGUUGCCAUGUCCACUUGUGCAGAGUCAAUGGAUCGAUUGGUUGGGGCCAAGAGACCACACAGGCAACGGCAAAUGCCAAAACUGCACAAAAAAACUCAUGUUAAACCGCUGGAUUUCCAGCUCCACACUGGGCAUAUGAAUUCAUAGUAUUAUAGUAUUAAAGGUUUGGAGUGUAUUUCUGGAAAAGACCUGGAUGUCCAUGGCCCACCACAUAGCCACGUACCAUGUAGCCCUACCUCUCCAUGUUGUCUGUUAAUGCCUAGAGGUGUAGUUUCCCAAUUCUUGUUGGAAUAGAAUUGGAGGGAACAGUUGUAGGGCUACUUAACCCAAGAGGCACACUCCAAAAGGAACAACCAAAAGGAAUGAGCAAAGGAACCAACAAAUGUAGUAUUUCUUGUUAAAACUUACAAUAAUCAGUCCAUCAUCAUAAUAGUUGGUAACACUUUACUUGGAUAGUCCAUUUCAGGGCCUUGUUGAUGCUCAACUGAUAUUCAACUAACAUUCAACUAACAUUCAGCUAAAUGCCUAUUAAAAAUACUUAACUUAACUCUCUGUGGAAUUUACAUGAUGUAAUAUAGAACCUCACAUUGAUUAUACCACAGUUUGCACCGACCCUGCAAUGUGAUUGGCUUAGAGGCGGAUUAUGAGUGAUAUUUUUAGCCGGUAAUUCACUGUCACCGAAGCUCUCUGUGUAUUACUCCGGCACAUACAGGUAACCUAGCAAUGAUGCAGCGCUUACAAACCAAAUCGUACAAACUACAUGCGAUAUUAUAAUACAUUUGAGGUUUGUGCUCCUCCCUGUUGUGUAUUACUUCUUAAAUAGAAAAUCAUUUACUUUCACCUUUCAGUUCAUUUGCAUUUACUAGACAUGCAGUUGAAUAUUAGUUGAAUGUCAGUUGAGCAUCAAUGAGGCCAUCAAUCUGACCUUCCAAGUAAAGUGUUACCUCAUAGUUUAACGUAGAUUUAAAGUAAUAUGGCUUCUUUUUAUAACAAGCAUCACUAGUAAAAAAUCACUGGUAGCACAGCUCAGUAGCUAAAUUACCCCCAACCAGUUACAGUUACACCCAACCAGACCAGCUGGAUGUUUUGGAGAUGCUCUGACCUUCAGUCUUUUCUAACCAUCAUAAUCUAGCUCUUGCAAAACAGCUGUAGAGUCUUAUACUCUUUCACACCCUCCAUUCAUUACAAUGGACAUCAUGUAUUUUUCUCAUUUUUUAAAUUGUUUUGUUGCAGAUAACACUAUUUUAGAGCCAAUGAAAAAGUUUAUAAUCCAGUGAAAUCCAAUGUAACUUGGCCCACUGCACUGGAAAAAAACUGUGGUACUAGAGACAUUGAUGCAAAGUAACAGCUAAUUUUUUUUUUACUAAUGUAAUAUGAUUUAAAACAUUUUUAAUCCUGUUUUUUUAUUAAAUAAAAAGGUCAAUAUGAAAUAUAAUAUAAAAUAUUACACACAGGCUUCUAAUGCAAUGAAAAAAAAUAUAUAUAUAUAUAUAAAAUAUUUUAGUUAAUUGGAUUUAUUCGCUAUAUAUAUAUUUUA